RNAcentral lists this ribosomal RNA (253 nucleotides) under uncultured bacterium. RNAcentral's name for it is "partial 16S ribosomal RNA". It matches the Rfam family "Bacterial small subunit ribosomal RNA", at positions 524 to 776 of the family's 1533-position model. The record is from RNAcentral.
UACGUAGGGAGCAAGCGUUGUCCGGAAUCAUUGGGCGUAAAGCGCGCGUAGGUGGCCUCGUAAGUCCGCUGUGAAAGUCAAAGGCUCAACCUUUGAAAGCCGGUGGAUACUGUGAGGCUAGAGUACGGAAGAGGCGAGUGGAAUUGCUGGUGUAGCGGUGGAAUGCGCAGAUAUCAGGAGGAACACCAAUAGCGAAGGCAGCUCGCUGGGACGUUACUGACACUGAGGCGCGAAAGCGUGGGGAGCGAACAGG